GGAAUAUUGCACAAUGGGCGAAAGCCUGAUGCAGCAACGCCGCGUGAGGGAUGACGGCCUUCGGGUUGUAAACCUCUUUUGGCAGGGAAGAAGCGAAAGUGACGGUACCUGCAGAAAAAGCACCGGCUAACUACGUGCCAGCAGCCGCGGUAAUACGUAGGGUGCGAGCGUUGUCCGGAAUUAUUGGGCGUAAAGAGCUCGUAGGCGGUUUGUCGCGUCUGCUGUGAAAUCCCGAGGCUCAACCUCGGGCCUGCAGUGGGUACGGGCAAACUAGAGUGCAGUAGGGGAGACUGGAAUUCCUGGUGUAGCGGUGGAAUGCGCAGAUAUCAGGAGGAACACCGAUGGCGAAGGCAGGUCUCUGGGCUGUAACUGACGCUGAGGAGCGAAAGCGUGGGGAGCGAACAGGAUUAGAUACCCUGGUAGUCCACGCCGUAAACGUUGGGCGCUAGAUGUGGGGACCAUUCCACGGUUUCCGUGUCGCAGCUAACGCAUUAAGCGCCC
Molecule: ribosomal RNA, 501 nt
Filed under: uncultured bacterium
Lineage: Bacteria
Description: bacterial SSU rRNA
Rfam family: Bacterial small subunit ribosomal RNA
Source: RNAcentral